AUGCGGGACGGGCGUGCGCCGCUCGUGCGCGCCCCCGCGCGCCCUCCCAGGCAGCUGGGGGGCGCUGCCUGGAAGCGGCUGGGGCUGGGCGCGCGCGGCGCUUCCAGAACCCGCUCUGGGAACAAAGCGGGAAGCGCAGGCUGGGUUCGGCCGGGGGCGCGGCCCCUAGAAAACGUUCUAGAUGCUAAGAGAUAACAAAAUGGAAAUGAAUGGACAAGCAACAAGGAAGCAUUAAAAAAAAACGGCUAAAGCAUAAA
Molecule: long non-coding RNA, 257 nt
Organism: Aethalodelphis obliquidens (Pacific white-sided dolphin)
Lineage: Eukaryota; Metazoa; Chordata; Mammalia; Artiodactyla; Delphinidae
Exons: 2
Source: RefSeq, a predicted model, not a curated record